This 253-nucleotide ribosomal RNA is filed under the name uncultured bacterium. RNAcentral's name for it is "partial 16S ribosomal RNA". It matches the Rfam family "Bacterial small subunit ribosomal RNA", at positions 524 to 776 of the family's 1533-position model. The record is from RNAcentral.
GACAGAGGGUGCAAACGUUGUUCGGAAUUACUGGGCGUAAAGCGCGUGUAGGCGGCUAUGUAAGUCGGGUGUGAAAUCCCACGGCUCAACCGUGGAAGUGCACCCGAAACUGCGUAGCUAGAGUCCUGGAGAGGAAGGUGGAAUGCUUGGUGUAGAGGUGAAAUUCGUAGAUAUUAGCAGGAACACCGGUGGCGAAGGCGGCUAUCUGGACGACAACUGACGCUGAGGCGCGAAAGCCAGGGGAGCAAACGGG